Molecule: ribosomal RNA, 440 nt
Filed under: uncultured bacterium
Lineage: Bacteria
Description: partial 16S ribosomal RNA
Rfam family: Bacterial small subunit ribosomal RNA
Source: RNAcentral
CCUACGGGAGACAGCAGUGGGGGAUAUUGCACAAUGGGGGAAAGCCUGAUGCAGCGACGCCGCGUGUGGGAAGACGGUCCUCUGGAUUGUAAACCACUGUCGCCAGGGACGAAGAUGACGGUACCUGGGGAGGAAGCUACGGCUAAAUACGGGCGAGCAGCCGCGGUAAUACGUAGGGAGCGAGCGUUGUCAGGAAUUACUGGGGGUAAAGGGAGCGUAGGCGGGACUUGAAGUUGGGUGUCAAAUCUCCCGGCUCAACCGGUAGCCGCACUCAAAACUGCAGUUCUUGAGUGAAGUAGAGGCAGGCGGAAUUCCUAGUGUAGCGGUGAAAUGCGUAGAUAUUAGGAGGAACUCCAGUGGCGAAGGCGGCCUGCUGGGCUUUUACUGACGCUGAGGCUCGAAAGUGUGGGGAGCAAACAGGAUUAGAUACCCCAGUAGUC